Non-coding RNA from Orcinus orca (killer whale), 1888 nucleotides. The record is from the annotation of a RefSeq genome assembly. Lineage: Eukaryota; Metazoa; Chordata; Mammalia; Artiodactyla; Delphinidae.
GCACAAUGACAUGUAAAGCAUCUCAGACGCCAGAGGCAGGCAGUCUUGUUAAGACAGCCUCUCUCCCAACACACCUUACAACGUCCAUGAGAUGAAGAAAUCUAAAUCCUGUGUCAUUCCUUCUCAACCUCACAGCAACCUGGGUUCAAGUCCACCAGUCAUCAGACUUUUGUUUGUGGAGAAUCUCCCAAAAAGGAGCUCACUGCCUCCUCACUGCUCUGCCAUGACCCUGGUGUUCACCUUGAUGCUUGAGGUGCUCCUGUUCCUGAGAGGAGCCGGAGCCCAGUCGGUGACCCAGCCUGACGGCCACAUCACUGUCUCUGAAGGAGCCCGUCUGGAGCUGAGGUGCAACUACUCAACUUCUGUUUCGCCCUUUCUCUUCUGGUACGUGCAGUACCCCAAUCAAGGACUCCAGCUUCUCCUGAAGUACACAUCUGGAAACAGCCUUGUCUCAGGUAUCAAAGGUUUUGAGGCUGAAUUUAGGAGCAGUGAGAAGUCCUUCCACCUGAGGAAAACAUCAGCCCAUUGGAAAGACUCGGCCAAGUACUUCUGUGCUCUGAGUGACACAGUGACUAAGACUACAGUGGGAGCUGAACACAAAUCUCCUGAGACUUAGUAGCUUAAAGACUCAGGGUCUCAGCCUAUGUUAUUUUCAGGAUGUUGGCAUGUUCUGUGAAGGCAAACAGUACAGAGAAUACAGAAUCCUGAAAGUGUUUGGUUCCCGUGGGCAUCUUAGAUUUCUUUUCUCUUUCGCAAAGAAAAGACUAUUGUUUUCUUAAUUUCAGUGCUCUCAGUGGUCUUGAGGCUGGUGGGUGGUUUCUUGUCAGUGACACCUGAGAAGGCUGUGCCUAUACUGUACUGUUUUGUUCAGAGUAAGUUUUUAUGUCAUAGAAAGAAAACCCAAUCUUAAUAUUCUUUUUCAAAAUAUAGUUGACAAUUCCAAGGUAUUUGUUCUCACUUACUUAGUUUCGUUCAAACAAAUGGGAUUCUGGUUGGAAUCACAUUGGAAACUGACAUUUUAGGAUAUUAUGUUUUCCUACCCAAGAAUAUUAUAUGCCUCUUCAUUUAUUCAGGUCUUGUUUUAGUCCUUUAAAAGUAAAUUUUGCUUGCUUGUUUCCAGAAAAGUUGGAAAAAAUGAAAUGAAUCAUUGAAUAAGUGGAGAGUUGAUGUCUAGUAUUCUGUGUCUGUUCCUCUCUCUGAACAGGGAAGAGAGCCCACAGAAAGUGGAGCAGCAUCCCCAGUCCACAAGUGCCAGGAGGGAGAGGUUUCUAUUUUUAACACAGUCACACACGCAGCAAAAGUGAGAGUUCCAACCAUUAAGAAGAACAUAUCUCUGUGCAGGUCAUAGGCUCAGACUCCACCUUCUGCUCUGUAAUCAUGGGGACCCCGCCCACGUUCAGUCUGUUCACAACCCCACAGAAGGAGGCACUCACUUUCACACAAAAUGAUGUUUCUCAGAAUUCAUACCUGAGGUUUUUCUGUUUCCUUCUUUCUGCACACUUCGUUAGGCAAUAUAAAAAUAUUUUACGAAUGAUGCUUGUACACAAAGAGCUUACUACCUAACAGUCAUAGGAAUAUCUCUCUCAUUAGACUUAAGCUUUAUGAAGAUAUCAAUUUUUUUUUUACCAAUAAGCAUUCACUGAACAAUGGUUGAAAUAAUGAAUGGCUGAUAAUAUUUAUACCCAUAUAUACAGGCAAAUUUAUAGCCAAUGGUUAGAAUUUGUAUGGAAACUAAUUUCAGCUCCCUAUAAGGAAAAAUGAACAAUUAGAGGCUUUUCGAAACAAAACAGACUGCUUUGAGGUGUAAAAUACUCCUCACUACAGGAACUAGUCAAAGAAAAGUGGAAUGUCCAUUUUCCAGUGAUCUGCAGAAACAAUUACAAAACAG